This is a long non-coding RNA of Bradysia coprophila, 855 nucleotides long. NCBI's taxonomy places the organism in Eukaryota, Metazoa, Arthropoda, Insecta, Diptera, Sciaridae. The record is from RefSeq and is a predicted model, not a curated record.
UAGAACAAUCAAAAAAAUCGAAAACUUUCGAUAAAUCAAAUUAUUGAAAUAAGCCGUUUAGCAUAAUUGAAUCGUAUAGCAACCAAGAAAGGAAGCACCGUGUUGGAAAUAUGUACACGAACCAUACAUAGCUGUAAGUGUAUGCAUAUGUUUGCUUCCGGUUCAACAGACCAUAUAGCAAUGAUGGUCACAUGAAUCGAUUCCAUCAACGUCAUCUCGAACAGUCACACGCCGAUUCAUUUUUAUUCAAAGAAAAAUCUUACAAAUUAUAAAUAAUGGAAAAAGUGAGACUGUUGAACAGAAACACCUGUUCCGUAUGCUGAAAAUGGUAGCUUUGGUUUACAUUUUCAUAAAAUAAUGGCUUCUAAACGCCGAUGCCGGCGAGCAACAAUCAUAUCUUGUUACAGUUUCUUUUGAAAAUAUUAAGACAAAGUACCUUAAGGUGAAAAUGGCAUGGGUAGAUGAACCAUUUCAAUUUAUUGGAUUUAGGCACAUAACGAAUCAAAACCAAAUAUUAUAACAACUGCAACUGAAAAACUUCGAUCAACUGCACACUUUGAUCAUGGAAUUCCGUAUGGCUUAACAAAUAAAAUCCAUGAAAAUUGCAUAUCAGCAAUGCUAAUUCAGCAAAAAUAAUUCACGAUAAAUUAAAAGCAAAUUUACCAAAUGUGAAAAAAAAUUGUAAAUAUUUUGUACUCGACAAAAAACACUUGCUAAACAUAUUUGCAUACACACGAAAAUUUAAAGUGUAUUUCAAAUAAAUUCAAAUUUAGUGAUGAUCACAGAUCAUCCUUGCGCUUCCAACCAAUUUGAAUAUGAAAAGAAAAAGUUGUCUUCUACAGACAUGUGCAAAAU